This is a long non-coding RNA of Tripterygium wilfordii, 466 nucleotides long. RefSeq lists it as uncharacterized. The record is from RefSeq and is a predicted model, not a curated record. Lineage: Eukaryota; Viridiplantae; Streptophyta; Magnoliopsida; Celastrales; Celastraceae. The transcript is spliced from 2 exons.
CGCCAUAGACGAAGCUGCAUGAGACCAGAGAAUCUCUUGGUUUGACAAAUCUAUAGGAUAUGUUGAGAACACACAAAAUCAGUCAGUCUUAUCGUGAAAUAACAGUUCUGAAGUUGUGUUGACAGUCUAACUACUCUGAUAUAGCUGAUUACUUUUUUUGCACAUGAGAACGGGGCUGUGGUUUUUUUGGGUGGUGUGAUAGUGGCUCUGGAACGAAUACGCAAUAGGUUCAACUCGGAGAUAUGCUCCUAUUUAUUCAUUCCCAGAUGUUCCUUGCCCCUGUGGUGCCGGGUCUUGCUUAGUUCUGACUUCAAAAACAGGGAAAAAACUCGGUCAACAAUUCCAUCGUUGUCCUGCUGGACAGCAAUCAUCACAUAGCCUGUCUCAGUUUGUUGUUGAGUGACUGAACAGUCACGGUUACCUCCUCUGUUUGUGUAGUGGAAACUAGUUUGUACAAGAUAUUGGA